AUUUAAACCAAAUUGAACAUGUUUCAUUAUUUAUUUGAGGCUAAAUUGAUUUUAUUGAUGUAUUAUAUUAAGUUAAAAUAAGUGUUCAUUCAGUAUUGUUGUAAUUAUCAUUAUUAUAAAUAAAUAAACAAACAACAACAAAACAACAAAAAAUUGGCCGAUUUAAUCGGCAUCGGCUUUUUUGGCCCUCCAAUAAUCGGUAUCGGCGUUUAAAGAUCAGAAUCGGUUGACCUCUAGUCCUGGGAGUGCAUUCCGACGAAGAUCAGCAAAGGUAAGUGAAGAUUUAUAAUACUAUUUCUGAGUUUAGUUGACUCCAGAACUUGGCGGGUAACUGUAUAGCUUGCUUUGAUGGCUGAGCUCUGUACUCAGAAUAUUGAACAAUGUGCUUUCGCCGUAAAGCUAUUUUGAAAUCUGAUACAGCGGUUGCUUUAAGGAGAAGUGUAUCUAUAAUUCUUUCAAUAACUGUUGUAAAUUUUAUCAACGUUUAUGAUGAGUAUUUUUGUAAAUUGAUGUGCUCAUUCACCGUUAGUUUUGGAGGCAAUAGAUUUUCUGAACAUCACGCGCCAAUGUAAAAUGGGGUUUAUGGAUAUAAAUAAUAACUUUAUCGAACAAAACAUACAUGUAUUGUGUAACAUUGAGUCCUGGGAGUGUCAUCUGAUGAAGAUCAUCAAAGGUUAGUGAUUCAUUUUAGCUGUAUUUCUGGUUUUUGUGACGCCUCUCCUUGCUUGGAAAAUGGCUGUGUGGUUUUUCUUGUUUAGGCGCUGUCCUAACAUAAUCUAAUGUUAUGCUUUCGCCGUAAAGCCUUUUUGAAAUCGGACACUGUGGUUGGAUUAAGGAGAAUCUUAUCUUUAAAAUGGUGUAUAAUACUUGUAUGUUUGAGAAAUUUGAAUUAUGAGAUUUUUGUUGUUUUGAAUUUGCCGUCCUGCUAUUUCACUGGCUGUUGAUAGUGUGUAACGCUAGCGUCCCACAUGUCGCAGAGAGGUUAAUCAGAGAAUCUGGUAUAAAAUGAACCACGAGAUCGACCUGUGACACAGAAUGAUACACCCCAAUAAUUAAAUAAACCUGUGAUUCUGUGACCAGAAUCAGUAAGAUCUUUCCAAAAUGUGUAUCCGUAAUCAUUUUCUCAAGGCCUUUAGUGUGUUUUUACUUUGUAUACAAUUUUAGACACCUCUGCAGUGCUUUGCUUUGUGAACCCUUUGACUGUACAGCUCCCUGAAUGGCAUUGUUAUAUAAUUGCUCCUCAAAUUAAUUCACGACACCAACAACUUCAAUGCUAUGUGGAAACAUUUGGCCACUGAUUGGUGUAACUGGUGGCUCUCAGACAUGUUUUCUGGCACACUCCUUGAAGUAGGAGUGCUUGCUCUCAAGCCUCGGUGUCCACAAACGAAUGAGUCGCCCAAAUUGCAGGAUGAGGUCGGGGAAGUUUAACAAGUAGUGAUUCUUUGGUGCAAGGGCGCUACCCCACAAGCAAAACUGAAGACAUGAGUCUUCAAUAUUCCCAGGUAAGAAGUUUUAGGUUGUAGUUAUUAUAGGAAUUAUAGGACUUUCUCUCUAUACGAUUUGUAUUUCAUAUACCUUUGACUAUUGGAUGUUCUUAUAGGCACUUUAGUAUUGCCAGUGUAACAGUAUAGCUUCCGUCCCUGUCCUCGCCCCUAACUGGGCUCGAACCAGGAACACAUCGACAACAGCCACCCUCGAAGCAGCGUUACCCAUGAAGAGGAAGGGAAACAACUACUCCAAGUCUCAGAGUGAGUGACGUUUGAAACGCUAUUAGCGCGCACCCCGCUAACUAGCUAGCCAUUUCACAUCGGUUACACCAGCCUAAUCUUGGGAGUUGACAGGCUUGAAGGGGUGGGUAUAAUUUCUGGAACGUUCCAACAGGAAUCUGUUCCAAAAAACGUAAAUUAAAAGGUUGCCAACCAACAACGCAUACAAACCUAGCUAACUAGCUGCCGAAUAGGCAUCAACUCACCACGUAGCUUAUUCUUAAUGUUUGUCUAUAGGCAACCAGAGUGAGGACAGACAUUUUUCGGAAUAAACGUGAUGAGUGAAAAACGCAAUGAAAUAGACCACUCACUACCCGGUAUCUUAUUCUGCUGCUAUACAACUUUGUAUGCAUUGUUUUUUGGCAACCUUGUUAUUUCCGAAGUUUUUGGAAUAGAUUCCUGUUGGAACGUUCCACAAAUUAUACCCACCCGGUUUGAAGUCAUAAACAGCUUGAAACACAGCGAACAGCUGCUGGCAAAACGCACGAAAGUGCUGUCUGAAUGAAUGCUUACGAGUUAUGUUAUGUCAAUGUUAUGUCAUAAUUAUGUACAAUUCUGGCAAAUUAGUUCGCAACGAGCCAGGUGGCCCAAACUACAGCAUAUACCCAGACACUGCGUGCAAAGAACGCUAUAGAUGUGACACAAUUUCAUGUUAGCAGGCAAUAUUAACUAAAUAUGCAGGUUUAAAAAUAUAUACUUGUUUAUUGAUUUUAAAGAAAGGCAUUGAUGUUUAUGGUUAGAUACAUUGGUGCAACGACAAUGCAAACACCCGUUUGGCGAAAUAGGCUAUGAUUCAAUGAUAAAUGAACAGGCACCGCAUCGAUUAUAUGCAACGCAGGACACGUUAGAUAAACUAGUAAUAUCAUCAACCAUGUGUAGUUAACUAGUGAUUAUGUUAAGAUUGAUAGUUUUUUAUAAGAUAAGUUUAAUGCUAGUUAGCAACUUACCUUGGCUUCUUGCUGCCCUCGCGUAACAGGUAGUUAGCCUGCCACGCAGGCUCCUCGUGCGUUGGAUUGGAUUAGUAACCGGAAGGUUGCAAGAUCGAAUCCCCCCUGAACAAGGCAGUUAACCCCCGUUCCUAGGCCAUCAUUGAAAAUAAGAAUGUGUUCUUAAUCUGACUUGCCUAGUUAAAUAAAGGUGCAAAAAAAACUAAAAAAAAGUUUUAAAAAACCCAAACAUUAUCGGCAAAUCGGUGGCCAAAAAUACAGAUUACCGAUUGUUAUGAAAACUUGAAAUCGGCCAUUCCGAUUAAUCGGUCGACCUCUACCCAGGACUCCCACUUCCACAAGAAAUGUCAGUUUUGUUCGAUAAACUCCAUAUUUAUGUCCAAAUACCUCCGUUUUGUUCACGUGUUCAGAUCACUAAUCCAAAGGCAUAAUGCGUGAGCGCAAAACCCGAGAUGAAAAGUCAAAUAGUUCCAUUACCGUUCGUAGAAACAUGUCAAUCGAUGUUUACAAUCAAUCCUUAGGGUCUUUUUAACAUAAAUCUUAGAUAAUAUUCCAACUGGACAAUAGCGUAUUCAUUACAGAGGAAAAAGGAGCGGCGCACCUGCGUGCAUGCGCAGUAAAAAACUCACUGGUCCCAGGCUUGAGACAGCUCUUAUUCUCUGCCCAGUAACAGUAGAAGCAUGAAACAAGGUUCUACAGACUGUUGACAUCUACUGGAAGCCUUAGGAAGUGUAAAAUGAACCCACAGACACUGUAGUUUGGAAAGACAAUCAGUUGAAAAACUACAAACCACUUCCUGGUUGGAUUUUUUUCUCAGGUUUUUGCCUGCCAUAUGAGUUCUGUUAUACUCACAGACAUCAUUCAAACAGUUUUAGAAACUUCAGAGUGUUUUCUAUCCAAAUCUACUAAUAAUAUGCAUAUCGUACCUUCUGGGCCCGAGUAGCAGGCAGUUUAAUUUGGGCACGUUAUUCAUCAAUUUCCGAAUACUGCCCCGUCACCAAGAAGUUAAUUAUGUGUGUGUUAAUGAAGAUAGUCUGAGUAAUUAUUACCCACUACCAGUUUAUGAAGUGUCAGGUUGCUUUGUUGUGUCCCUGCAUCACUCAGUGUGUUCUCCUUUAACCUGUUAUGGCUAGGGGGCAGUAUUUUCACGGCUGGAUAAAAAACGUACCCGAUUUAAUCUGGUUACCACUCCUACCCAGUAACUAGAAUAUGCAUAUACUUAUUACAUAUGGAUAGAAAACACCCUAAAGUUUCUAAAACUUUUGAAUGGUGUCUGUGUAUAACAUAACUCAUUUGGCAGGCAAAAACCUGACAAGGUUUCAGGCAGGAAGUGGCCUGUCUGACAAGGUGUCGUUCUUCUUGUCUCUGUUUAUUGAAGAGUGAGGAUCUUAGCUGUCCCGUGACACUUCCUACGGCUGCCAUAGGGUCUCAGAAGGCGGUAAAAAGCUGAAUCGUGGCUUUGCAGGCUCUGGCUGAAAAAAAGUAGCGCGUUUGGGUAGUGGCUGGUUACAGUACUGUGAGACUCAGGCUCGUGCCCGCGUCGACCGAAAGCUUUGUUUACUUUCCUCUGUUUAGCUAAAAGGAGAUUCCCGGUCGGAAUCUUAUCGCUUUUUUUACGAGAAAAAUGGCAUAAAAAUGGAUUUUAAACAGCGGUUGACAUGCUUCGAAGUACGGUAAUGGAAUAUUUAGAUUUUUUUUGUCACGAAUUGCACCAUGCGCGCGACCCUGAUUUACCAUUUCAGAUAGUGUCUGGAACGCACGAACAAAACGCCGCUAUUCGGAUAUAACGAUGGAUUAUUUUGGACCAAACCAACAUUUGUUAUUGAAGUAGCAGUCCUGGGAGUGCAUUCUGACGAAGACAACAAAAGGUAAUCAAACUUUUAUAAUAGUAAACCUGAUAUUGGUGAGUGCUAAACUUGCCGGGUGUCUAAAUAGCUAGCCCGUGAUGCCUGGGCUAUGUACUUAGAAUAUUGCAAAAUGUGCUUUCACCAAAAAGCUAUUUUAAAAUUGGACAUAUCGAGUGCAUAGAGGAGUUCUGUAUCUAUAAUUCUUAAAAUAAUUGUUAUGCUUUUUGUGAACGUUUAUCGUGAGUAAUUUAGUAAAUUCUUAGUGAAUUUGCCGGAAGUUUGCGGGGGGUAUGCUAGUUCUGAACGUCACAUGCUAAUGUAAAAAGCUGGUUUUUGAUAUAAAUAUGAACUUGAUUGAACAAAACAUGCAUGUAUUGUAUAACAUAAUGUCCUAGGGUUGUCAUCUGAUGAAGAUCAUCAAAGGUUAGUGCUGCAUUUAGCUGUCUUCUGGGUUUUUGUGACAUUAUAUGCUAGCUUGAAAAAUGGGUGUCUGAUUAUUUCUGGCUUGGUACUCUGCUGACAUAAUCUAAUGUUUUGCUUUCAUUGUAAAGCCUUUUUGAAAUCGGACAGUGUGGUUAGAUAAAGGAGAGUCUUAUCUUUAAAAUGCUGUGAAAUAGUGAUAUGUUUGAAAAAUUGAAGUUUUUGUAUUUUUGAGGAAUUUGUAAUUCGCGCCACGCCUAUCAUUGGAUAUUGGAGCAGGUGUUCCGCUAGCGGAACGUCUAGAUGUAAGAGGUUAACCAGUGUAGGCAUGGAGGGUCUUCAAGAUGCAAUUAAACACCAAUUGUCCGAGUUGGAGACCGAGAUGGUGAGAUCUUUGUCAGAUCAUCUGAGGGCAAAUGUUGGAGUGGAGAAUAUUAACGACCUUGAAUAUGUUCAGCUGGAGGACAUGAAAUACCAUUUGACGCCAAUACAGUGCCGGGAAUUGCUUCAGUCCUUCAACCAAAGAGGUGAGAUCUUGAUCGAUAAAUGUAUCAUAUUUAUGUCAUUGUUAUGAAAAAAGGUGCUAUCUUGAUCCUAAAAUGGUUAUUUGGCUGUCCCCAUAAGAGAACCCUUUGAAGAUCUUUUUUUGAUUCCAGCUACAUGUAUAACCCUUUUGGUUCCAGGUAGAACUCUUCUGGGUUCCAUGUAGAACCCUUUUCACAGAGGGUUCUACCUGGAACCCAAAAGGGUUCUCCUACGGGGACAGCCAAAGAACCCUUUCGGAACCCUUUUUCCUAAGAGUAUAUAUACACACACGCACAAGGUUAAAAAGGUUCUGUAAAUAGUUAGUUUGUUUGCCCUCAAAAUAAAUGGUUAAUGCUACGAGGGAGCGAGGUAUAUGCAAUAAAAGGGACUUAAAUUACAAAAAUACAUAAAACUACUAAAAUAUGCAAAUGUAUCUGUAAAUUGUUUGCUUGUCCUCUUAUGCUGGUAUGGAGUGCAGCGCGUAGCCUAACACAGUUUUUUUUUAAAGAAAAUUAAGAAUGGAUAUGAUCUGUAACAAUGGAUAGGACACGUGUCCACCUCCAAGCAUCAGUGUCCUCCAGGAACAGUGGCCUUUCCUUUUCACCAAGUUAUGGCUCUGCGACCACUUCAAUACUUGUGAUUGACAGUCACCUGACUCAAGCUCUCCUGAACAAGGGUAAGAGAAUUGUAAACUUUUUUAAAAGCCAAAAGACCAAGUUGAGGAGAGAGAUCCAGUGCCUGCUAAAUGAAACCGACAGUUACAUCAAAGGCAAUGACGAUCUAACAGCCACUGCUGCCAUUCUUUUGUUGAUGACCCAGAGGACGACGAAUCUCUGUUCCUCAUGGCAGAUGUAAUGAAUAGUGUUUUUAUGUUUAUAUGAUUAAUGGUGUUUAUACUGUACUAUUACACAUGAUUUGUAUAUAUGUACAGUUGAAGUCAGAAGUUUACAUACACCUUAGCCAAAUACAUUUAUACUCAGUUUUUCACAAUUCCUGACAUUUAAUCCUAGUUACAAUUUGCUGUUUUAGGUCGGUUAGGAUCACCACUUUAUUUUAAGAAUGUGUAAUGUCAGAUUAAUAGUAGAGAGAAUGAUUUAUUUCAGCUUUUAUUUCAUUCAUCACAUUCUCAGUGGAAGUUUACAUACACACAAUUAGUAUAUGGUAGCAUUGCCUUUAAAUUGUUUAACUUGGGUCAAACGUUUCAGGUAGCCUUCCACAAGCUUCCCACAAUAAGUUGGGUGAAUUUUGGCCCAUUCCUCCUGACAGAGCUGAUGUAACUGAGUCAGGUUUGUAGGCCUCCUUGCUGGCAUACGCUUUUUCAGUUCUGCCAACACAUUUUCUAUAGGAUUGAGGUCAGGGCUUUGUGAUGACCACUCCAAUACCUUGACUUUGUUGUCCUUAAGCCAUUUUGCAACAACUUUGGAAGUAUGCUUGGGGUCAUUGUCCAUUUGGAAGACCCAUUUGCGACCAAGCUUUAACUUCCUGACUGAUGUCUUGAGAUGUUGCUUCAAUAUAUCCACAUCAUUUUCCCACCUCAUGAUGCCAUCUAUUUUGUGCACCAGUCCCUGCUGCAGCAAAGCACCCCCACAACAUAAUGCUGCCACCCCCGUGCUUCACAGUUGGGAUGGUGUUCUUCGGCUUGCAAGCCUCCCCUUUUUCCUCCAAACAUAAUGAUUGUCAUUAUGGCCAAACAGUUCUAUUUUUGUUUCAUCAGGCCAGAGGACAUUUCUAGAAAAAGUACGAUCUUUGUCCCCAUGUGCAGUUGCAAACCGUAGUCUGGCUUUUUUAUGGGGGUUUUGGAGCAGUGGCUUCUUCCUUGCUGAGCGGCCUUUCAGGUUAUGUCAAUAUAGGGCUCGUUUUACCGUGGAUAUAAAUCCUUUUGUACCCAUUUCCUCCAGCAUCUUCACAAGGUCCUUUGCUGUUGUUCUGGGAUUGAUCUGCACUUUUCGCACCAAAGUACGUUCAUCCCUAGGAGACAGAACACGUCUCCUUCCUGAGCGGUAUGACGGCUGUGUGGUCCCAUGGUGUUUAUACUUGCGUACUAUUGUUUGUACAGAUGAACAUGGUACCUUCAGGCGUUUGGAAAUUGCUCCCAAGGAUGAACCAGACUUGUGGAGGUCUAAAUUCUUUUCUUCUGAGGUCUUGGCUGAUUUCUUUUGAUUUUCCCAUGAUGUCAAGCAAAGACGAACUGGGUUUGAAGGUAAUACGUCCACAGGUACACCUCCAAUUGACUCAAAUAAUGUCAAUUAGCCUAUCAGAAGCUUCUAAAGCCAUGACAUCAUUUUCUGGAAUUUUCCAAGCUGUUUAACUUCUGACCCACUGGAGUUGUAAAUUAUAAAUGAAAUAAUUUGUCUGUAAACAAUUGUUGGAAAAAUUAUUUGUGUCGUGUACUUUUGUGUAUUUCAGGAAAUAUUCUAUUGGGUUCCUCAAAAUGGAUGGUGUCGAUCGAGAGGAGAGUGGUCUGUGUUUUGGACAGUAAGUCCAACUUUGCUGCUGCCCUCUCUGUGCUCUUCAGCACUUUCUAUGUUUUUAACAUAGAAUAACAGGAGUUGGCCUCUGCAACCUUGGAGCUGAUAGAGGUUCCUGGUUUGAAUAAACCCUUAAGGAACCAAAUGCACAGCGAAAGCAGGAGUGAGCCGCAAGACCGGAAAGGUCGUUCAGAGGAAGUCAUUGCCAAUUGACCAAGAUGUUACACGCUUUCUCGCAGACCUGAAGGAGUUUGAUAGGAAAAACUCCAACAUUUGAUGUAUCAGAGCUAAGGAGGAUCAGAGUUUCAAAAAUGGGGGUGAUAACCUGCACGCCACCGAGAUUUAUUCGAGACUUGUUUGCAUCUCUCAUUCUCUCAGAAAUCCUGCCAUGUGGGUUGGGUCAGCAAAUGAUCUGUUUGCUCCAUCCCGGAGCCUGUGUUGUCUUGAGGUAGCAUGCUUCUCUGGCUCCAGUCUAGCCCUGCUCUCUCCUCUCUAUCCACUUUUCUCUCAGCCCCUUUCUCUCUCGAUCUCUCUCUCUCUCUCGUUUCUCUCUCAACGACAGCCAGGCAAGCAGUUCUUGUUAUUGUUUUUUGUAAAAAUGUCUCCCUGUUCAACUGUUGUUUCCCUAUUUUUCAUUGAUCUGUUUAGAGAUUUUUUAAAUCUUACAUAAUCCUGUAUUUUUAAGAAUGACCUAUUCUGAUGUUUUGGUUUGUGUAUGGUGAAGUACAUUACUGACCAUUAUUUGUCAAUGUUCUUAUCAUUGUAUCUCUUUCUCUCUCUCUCCCCU
RNAcentral lists this long non-coding RNA (8760 nucleotides) under Salmo salar (Atlantic salmon). RNAcentral's name for it is "lncRNA (ENSSSAG00000112625.1)". Lineage: Eukaryota; Metazoa; Chordata; Actinopteri; Salmoniformes; Salmonidae. The record is from RNAcentral.